AGUGAACGCUGGCGGUAGGCUUAACACAUGCAAGUCGAACGGCAGCACAGUAAGAGCUUGCUCUUACGGGUGGCGAGUGGCGGACGGGUGAGGAAUACAUCGGAAUCUACUUUUUCGUGGGGGAUAACGUAGGGAAACUUACGCUAAUACCGCAUACGACCUACGGGUGAAAGCAGGGGAUCUUCGGACCUUGCGCGAUUGAAUGAGCCGAUGUCGGAUUAGCUAGUUGGCGGGGUAAAGGCCCACCAAGGCGACGAUCCGUAGCUGGUCUGAGAGGAUGAUCAGCGACACUGGAGCUUGGACACGGUCCAUAGUCCUACGGGACGCAGCAGUGGGGAAUGUUGGACAGAAGGCGGGAGCAUGAUCCAGCCAUAGCGCGUGGGUGAAAGAGGCCUUCGGGUUGUGAAGCCCUUUUGUUGGGAGAGAAAAGCAUCAGGUUAAUACCCCGCUGUUCUGACGGUAACCAAAGAAUAAGCACCGGCUAACUUCGUG
Molecule: ribosomal RNA, 492 nt
Filed under: uncultured bacterium
Lineage: Bacteria
Description: partial 16S ribosomal RNA
Rfam family: Bacterial small subunit ribosomal RNA
Source: RNAcentral